Molecule: long non-coding RNA, 620 nt
Filed under: Ananas comosus (pineapple)
Lineage: Eukaryota; Viridiplantae; Streptophyta; Magnoliopsida; Poales; Bromeliaceae
Description: long non-coding RNA (ACOM_LNC001956)
Source: RNAcentral
GUAGAAAAGAAGAAAAUGAUGUUGUAAUAAUAUAGAUUGUAUUUGGAAGUUAAAUGUAAAUAAAAAUUAUAAUAUGUGAAACCUGGGAUGAAUGCUUAUAAUAGCAUAGUUGCAUUUAUGUUUUUGAUAUUUCCUUAUGCAAUCAUUGCUUAAUUAUUGUUCCUAGUUGGAACCUCGCGUUUUGUAUGGACUGUGAUGCUUAGGACGUACAGGAAAAAUUCUGUUCAUUUGGCGGUCUGUUGGCGCGGCGGCGCGAGGAAAGGGCAUAGCUCCGUAGAUAGCGCCCCCAUCACAGAGACUAGAAAUAGCAAUACUCCAAGUCGGCCUAGCUAGGGGUUGUAGAAAAGAAGAAAACAAUAUUGUAAUAAUAUCGAUUGUAUUUGGAAGUUAAAUGUAAAUGAAAAUUAUAAUAUGUGAAAUCUGGGAUGAAUGCUUAUAAUAGUAUAGUUGCAUUUAUGUUUUUGAUACUUCCUUAUGCAAUCCUUGCUUGAUUAUUGUUCCUGGUUGGAAUCUCGCGUUUUGUAUGGAUUGUGACGCCUAGGAUGUACAGGAAAAAUUCUGUUCGUUCGAUGGUCUAUUGGCGUGCCCGAAUCCGAUCAAAUAGGCGGGUCCCGGGGCGU